This 500-nucleotide ribosomal RNA is filed under the name uncultured bacterium. RNAcentral describes it as "partial 16S ribosomal RNA". It matches the Rfam family "Bacterial small subunit ribosomal RNA", at positions 30 to 523 of the family's 1533-position model. The record is from RNAcentral.
AUUGAACGCUGGCGGAAUGCUUUACACAUGCAAGUCGAACGGCAGCACGGACUUCGGUCUGGUGGCGAGUGGCGAACGGGUGAGUAAUGUAUCGGAACGUGCCCAGUCGUGGGGGAUAACGUAGUGAAAAUUACGCUAAUACCGCAUACGAUCUAUGGAUGAAAGCGGGGGAUCGCAAGACCUCGCGCGAUUGGAGCGGCCGAUAUCAGAUUAGGUAGUUGGUGGGGUAAAGGCCCACCAAGCCAACGAUCUGUAGCUGGUCUGAGAGGACGACCAGCCACACUGGAACUGAGACCCGGUCCAGACUCCUACGGGAGGCAGCAGUGGGGAAUUUUGGACAAUGGGCGAAAGCCUGAUCCAGCCAUUCCGCGUGCAGGAUGAAGGCCCUCGGGUCGUAAACUGCUUUUGUACAGAACGAAAAGGUUUCUACUAAUACUAGGAGCUCAUGACGGUACUGUAAGAAUAAGCACCGGCUAACUACGUGCCAUCCGCCGCGGUAA